UCCCUGGCGGACUAGUGAUUAGGCCAUAGCGUGCUCACCACUGCAGCCUGGGUUCGAUUCCCGGCCAGGGAA
RNAcentral lists this transfer RNA (72 nucleotides) under Pangasianodon hypophthalmus (striped catfish). RNAcentral describes it as "tRNA-Glu". Lineage: Eukaryota; Metazoa; Chordata; Actinopteri; Siluriformes; Pangasiidae. The record is from RNAcentral.